This 253-nucleotide ribosomal RNA is filed under the name uncultured bacterium. Its description in RNAcentral is "partial 16S ribosomal RNA". It matches the Rfam family "Bacterial small subunit ribosomal RNA", at positions 524 to 776 of the family's 1533-position model. The record is from RNAcentral. RNAcentral also lists the same sequence under 1 other name.
UACGGAGGGAGCUAGCGUUGUUCGGAAUUACUGGGCGUAAAGCGCACGUAGGCGGCUUUGUAAGUUAGAGGUGAAAGCCUGGGGCUCAACUCCAGAAUUGCCUUUAAGACUGCAUCGCUUGAAUCAUGGAGAGGCGGGUGGAAUUCCGAGUGUAGAGGUGAAAUUCGUAGAUAUUCGGAAGAACACCAGUGGCGAAGGCGGCCCGCUGGACAUGUAUUGACGCUGAGGUGCGAAAGCGUGGGGAGCAAACAGG